Molecule: long non-coding RNA, 416 nt
Filed under: Fragaria vesca (wild strawberry)
Lineage: Eukaryota; Viridiplantae; Streptophyta; Magnoliopsida; Rosales; Rosaceae
Description: long non-coding RNA (FVES_LNC003394)
Source: RNAcentral
ACGAACUUAAGAAGCAAGCAAGCGACGGUGGAUCCGAGGAGCUGAGCGAUCCAGUAGAGGAUGCCACGCAGGAGAGAGAUGUUACCUCCGACGAAGGCGCCGAAGGUGACUGCGGGGUUGACGUGUCCGCCGGAGAUGUUGGCUGCGACCGAGACGGCAACAAAAAGACCAAAAGCGUGAGCUAGAGCAGCGGCGACGAGCCCGGCAGGAGUGGUGGCGCCGUCGUCAGUGAGCUUGUUGAAGGCCAUGCCGGAGCCUUCGCCGGCGAAGACGAAGAUGAGAGUGGAGAUGAACUCGGCAAGCCCGGCCUUGAGGGCGUCCGGGUGGUACGCAUCCUCGGGUCGGCCCACGGCAAUGUUCUGGAUCGGCAUGGCGGAGGUUUGAAGCUAACUAGUUGAGCGGCUACUACUUCUCUU